AUCACUGGUAAUGCCAGGUUAGAGAUCACUGGUAAUGCCAGUAAUGCCAGGUUAGAUAUCACUGGUAAUACCAAGUGUAACAGAACUAUGCUUGUGCCUGGACUUAUUUAUCAAUACAGUUGGAUUUACUAAAAACCGAAUAACUAUUUCAUGGGAAAUACCAUUACAGCGAAUGCAGCUCAAACUACCGAACAUCGGACCACCCAGGGGCACAGUUAAGUGGUAUUUUACCUCCCAGUGCUUUUGGAGCCAUUUACAUGGUUUCACACGAAUCCUUUGUGCUCAGAAUAGAUGGCCGCCAUUUCGGGACUUUACACGUGUUUGCGGCCAUCUUACGCACGAACAGCGGUGUUUGCCCGUGAACGCAUGGAACUAAAAACGGACACGCAAACAGGCGAACACCGCUGAGACCUCCAUGAGCCCAUAACUUCGUGCUGGAACUACCGAACGACCGGCCGUUCGGUAGUUAUGCUUAAGCUCACAUAGGGAUUUCAGCGAACACCAGUGUGACUGUGGAUGACAAGGGGUUCGUGGGGUUUUAAUGCACGAACGGAGACCGACCGCAAGGCCAAAACUUAUGGAACUCUUUUCGGCUAGAGAAUCUGUGCGGUCAGUCAAAACUUCAAAGACCCAUAACUCCCGAACCCCUCAACUGAAUGAGCUGGAAUUUGGAUAUGUUGUUCCCCUGAAUGAGAGCUAUCAAGCAGUACCCUCUGUUUUUGGGGUACAUCCAGAACUUGAGUAAAAUUGUGUAUGUUUUAAUUGUGUUACAUGUUUAUCUGAGGGGAGGAGAUGUGGGGGUUGUACCAUGUGUAUGAUUGGUUAUUGUGAUAAUUAUGUGGGUGUAGCCUUUUUCAGGGCACCAUUGUAUAAAAGGAGACCCCUGUCAAUAAACGUCAGUUCUACUUGACCCUUCAAAACGUAGCCACGUCUCGUUCUUGGAGGGGAUUUAUUGUACAGUUACUCUGCCUCAUUUUACAGCGAUGCCUGAUUGUACUCCUGGAUAUCGUGGAUGGGAAUAAGAACUCCAUUACUUCACAGCAGCUUGCCUAGAAAAGGACGUUCCAACGGCUGAUACCCCUUCCCAGCUGGGUAGCCGUUACACCAAGUUAGAGAUCACUGGUAAUGCCAGGUUAGAGAUCACUGGUAAUACCAGGUUAGAGAUCACUGGUAAGAGAUCACUGGUAAUGCCAGGUUAGAGAUCACUGGUAAUACCAGGUUAGAGAUCAGUGGUAAUGCCAG
This is a non-coding RNA of Pelobates cultripes (western spadefoot toad), 1242 nucleotides long. The record is from the annotation of a GenBank genome assembly. Lineage: Eukaryota; Metazoa; Chordata; Amphibia; Anura; Pelobatidae.